CCUACGGGAGGCAGCAGUGAGGAAUAUUGGUCAAUGGGCGUAAGCCUGAACCAGCCAAGUCGCGUGAGGGAUGAAGGUUCUAUGGAUCGUAAACCUCUUUUAUAUGGGAAUAAAGUGCGGGAUGUGUCCCGUUUUGUAUGUACCUUAUGAAUAAGGAUCGGCUAACUCCGUGCCAGCAGCCGCGGUAAUACGGAGGAUCCGAGCGUUAUCCGGAUUUAUUGGGUUUAAAGGGUGCGUAGGCGGCCUUUUAAGUCAGCGGUGAAAGUUUGUGGCUCAACCGUAGAAUUGCAGUUGAAACUGGGAGGCUUGAGUAUAGUAGAGGCAGGCGGAAUGCGUGGUGUAGCGGUGAAAUGCUUAGAUAUCACGAAGAACCCCGAUUGCGAAGGCAGCCUGC
This 394-nucleotide ribosomal RNA is filed under the name uncultured bacterium. RNAcentral describes it as "partial 16S ribosomal RNA". It matches the Rfam family "Bacterial small subunit ribosomal RNA", at positions 338 to 729 of the family's 1533-position model. The record is from RNAcentral.